Molecule: unclassified non-coding RNA, 337 nt
Filed under: soil metagenome
Description: partial contains 5.8S ribosomal RNA, internal transcribed spacer 2, and large subunit ribosomal RNA
Rfam family: 5.8S ribosomal RNA (bases 1-120)
Source: RNAcentral
GAUGAAGAACGUAGCGAAAUGCGAUAAGUAGUGUGAAUUGCAGAAUUCAGUGAAUCAUCGAAUCUUUGAACGCACAUUGCGCCCUUUGGUAUUCCAAAGGGCAUGCCUGUUCGAGCGUCAUUUGUACCCUCAAGCUUUGCUUGGUGUUGGGCGUCUUGUCUCUAGCUUUGCUGGAGACUCGCCUUAAAGUAAUUGGCAGCCGGCGUAUUGAUUUCGGAGCGCAGUACAUCUCGCGCUUUGCACUCAUAACGACAGCGUCCAAAAGUACAUUUUACACUCUUGACCUCGGAUCAGGUAGGGAUACCCGCUGAACUUAAGCAUAUCAAUAAGCGGAGGA